GGGGGUGACCUGGCUUCGACGUGGGUCAUGAAGUCUCCGGGGCAUGCCGAGGGGCAGAGCACCUCGUAAAUCCAACUGCAAAUUCAUAGUUGCCAACGACGACAACUACGCUCUAGCGGCUUAAUCCCCGCUAGCCUCUCGCCCGAGCCGCGCCCGUAGGAUUGGGGUCGAGGGGUCAUCAAAUCGGGACCGCGCCGGUUCGUGCCUGUUGGGCCGGCGUCAAACCAAUAGCAGGCUAAGCGUAACGACGACCCUGUCUGCCGGGGAGCGGAACGUCAAAUAAAAGGCAGGCUACGCAUGUAGAUCCGGACGAUGGAGUACUUACGGACGCGGGUUCAAUUCCCGCCACCUCCACCA
This 357-nucleotide transfer-messenger RNA is filed under the name Acidiferrobacterales. RNAcentral describes it as "JACREH01 sp016218345 X1 Standard tmRNA". It matches the Rfam family "transfer-messenger RNA". From Rfam's summary of the family: Bacterial tmRNA, also known as 10Sa RNA or SsrA, is named for its dual tRNA and mRNA-like properties. Its role is to liberate the mRNA from a stalled ribosome. The record is from RNAcentral. RNAcentral also lists the same sequence under 1 other name. Lineage: Bacteria; Pseudomonadati; Pseudomonadota; Gammaproteobacteria.